Long non-coding RNA from Teleopsis dalmanni, 739 nucleotides. RefSeq lists it as uncharacterized. NCBI's taxonomy places the organism in Eukaryota, Metazoa, Arthropoda, Insecta, Diptera, Diopsidae. The transcript has 6 exons. The record is from RefSeq and is a predicted model, not a curated record.
AAUGAAACAAAAAUUUUAGAUGUGUUUUACAAAAUUUAACAAGCGACAAAAAUAAAUUAUUAAUCCUCAAAAUUAUUAGCCGCGUCCACAAAAUGGCUAAAUCAGUGGAGCGUUACACAGAAAUUGAUAUGAAUGAGUCUGAAGGUGACGAUGAGCAUUUCCAAUCGCAACAGCCUAAAGUGAAUUCUGAUGUUUAUGUUAAUGGAUUUGUCGUUGUUAUGGAUAUCAUUUCCCUGCUCUUCAAGCUGCUGAUAGUGUCUCUGUUCGUAUACGUCAUAUACAGUUUGUGGCGCACUAAGCGUGAUGUCUUCGACGAUGAAGAUGAUUGUCCAAUCUUUUAAUUCUUUCCUCUACCACAGUUAUAAUUCAGUUGUUUCCUAUGUGCCAUCACUGCUUCAAGACUGUGGGAAUAUCAUAUAACAUAUACAGUUUCCAAUCGCGACAACAUCAAUGUUCCUCCUGCCAAACAAAACCUUGUUUCGAAUGAGUCAAGGAUUAAGUAAUAAAGAUUUUUAAAUUAAAUUUUGAAACCAAUUAAGGUAUAAUGUUGAACGGUUUGUUUGCGACUUGUUAUAUUGUAUUCGUUUAAAGGAAACCUGGAACCUAACAUUGUUUGGCCUAUCUUUACUAAUGUGCUGCUAAGAAUAUUAACAUGUCUACAUUUAAGUACUCAAAAAGCCAAUUUUGAGCUUGCUAAUUUUAAGUGAUCUAUUUUUACAAAUAUACAUUUGUAUAUUAU